GGAGACGGGGAGCGUCCAUUGGCCCUUCCCUAGGUGGAGUGGCAAAGUCCGAGCCCCGCAGCCGACCCUACGUCCCUACGUGGAGGGGGGCGGGUGGAGUACCGGUGCCGCCAUGACCUACUCCCGUCCCCCGCCGGAGGCUAGAGUAGGGCUGAGGGGGAGAUGAGUGUGUCUGGUUUGGAGAGCGGGGGCGGACACUGGGAAGGCUCCCAAAACAGGUUUUGCCCCAUCUGUUUUAUGAACGACCUCUUCAGGCCAGAAGCCGGAUCCCAGGGGUGGCGGCCCUUCGACCUUCGAAAGGAGACCCGGGCCCCCAGCAGGCCCUCUGGCUUCGCGCUCUGUCGCCUGCAGUGGGUGGGAG
RNAcentral lists this long non-coding RNA (361 nucleotides) under Homo sapiens (human). RNAcentral describes it as "LHRI_LNC1630.1". Lineage: Eukaryota; Metazoa; Chordata; Mammalia; Primates; Hominidae. The record is from RNAcentral.